RNAcentral lists this ribosomal RNA (5147 nucleotides) under Triticum aestivum (bread wheat). RNAcentral's name for it is "partial small subunit ribosomal RNA". Lineage: Eukaryota; Viridiplantae; Streptophyta; Magnoliopsida; Poales; Poaceae. The record is from RNAcentral.
UGACGUGUACCCUUUACUUCGAAGAAGUCCUUCAAUUCUUACGAGACGAGAUGAGACGAGACGGGACGUAACGAGGAUACCGAGACGAGACAGCACGUGUGUUACGAGGUAAAACACUAUGUAUACCCGACUUCUCCUCCUUACCGAAUUCAGGUUAUUCUUUGUGGUCCCGGACGACUAUAAUCUCAACUCCAGGCAUCAUAUGAGAGAAAAUCAAGUUGUAUUUAAAUAUUACGAAGUUACCCAAAGAGACAAUCACGGGGUCACUCAACUCAAAGUCCCUAAGUGUACUAAAACCACAUACUGGUAACUUUACCUGAAAGAAGUGUUCGUAUUCCUUAUGGAUAUUAAAACUGAAGUGGUAAAACGUGACGUGUAAGUUAGGUAUAUAAGACGUUGGUCGUUCUAGGUGACUGAUUUUUUUCCUGAUUAGUCGUAUCAAUGUGGUGAUGGUCCAAUUAGUUUAAACUUGAUGGUAGAUUUUAAUCGAGUAUAUCCCUCCUACUUUCCCGACGACUAAAAAACACUGACUUGAAAAUGUAAUACCUUUAGCUCAUAUUAUUAUUGAUCGAUAAAGUUAUUUAUUUAAUCAGAUUGUACAUGAUUUUACAACACCGGGUAUCGUUGAGUCUCUCUCCAAGGUAGGGACGUGUAACCGACGGUUUCCGUGUGACUAAGGUGGUAGGCCUGCAGGUGCCGUACCAUACACUAACGUAUCAUAUCAUAUAAACAAAAAAGGAAAAUGAAGAUGUAAGACAACUUACACAGAGAGUUGGAGGUCUCACUACAUACGUACGUACAUACACACAUACCUAGUUCCUAAUGCUCAGCUGCUCAGCAACUCAGUAAGGCUCCAACUCUGAGUAUCUGAUUAGUCUGAUCAGAAUCUGAUCACGAUCUGAUCAGCUGUUUCAUGACAUCAUCAGUUGAUGAUUAUGGAUCAUCGUCAUACACAUCAUACAUCAUCAUAUAUGUUAUUUUGGUCGUAACGAGCGGUUGCGAGCGGUCCGGGUCGGGUCACGGCGAGUCGUGCGGUGGGGGUCGACCGGGUAAACCCGGGUUCAUCGGUCGGAUGAAUCGGAUGAAGGGUAGGGUCAGAGACAUUGGGAUCGAGGGCUAGCUAGGGCAGCGGUGGUGGACGCAGUAGUGCGUGUCUUCGUGCGCGCGCGCUGGGCGCGGAGGCUGGCGACGGCGGCCGCUCGGUCGUUUGGUGGCCGCACGUAGGAGAGGAGAGGAGAGAGAGAGAGAGAGAGAGAGUAUCCCGGUGUGCGCGGAUGCCCCGUGCCGGUACCGGCGGCGGGCUCGUGCUCGAGGCCGGCCGACGGCGCGGAACGAAGCGGUAGGCGGCAGGGCCGCCGCCCAGUCACCCACGACCACCACCGGAGCAGGUCCGCCGAGCAAGAGUAUCGAGCGAGAGGUUAAAGGGGGAGGGUUUAAACUCAGCUCGCUGAGUCUGUCGUCCUGAUCAGGUCUGAUCAGCAUCUGAUCAGAGAGCUGGCGAGCUGAGUAGCCUAAUCAGAUGUGCUCUAAGCGUCAGCUGUGGUGUCAACGCUGAGUAUCUGAUCAGGUAGCUGAUCAGAGCUGAUCAGGAAGCUGAGCAUUAGUUACCAUACCUAUGAUACCAGUACAACGCCGGAUUUAGUGACAAAACUGAAUAAACCUUUUCAAGUCGUGUUUGACUUGGUACAACCUUUGAAUAGGCCCCGCUACUACUAUUUUGUACCGACUGUAUUCGAACAGAAGCUAAGAAACUCCUCGACACUCGUAUUUUUUGGGUGACGGGGGAGAAAACCUUGGAAAAGUAAGAGUGACUUAUAACUACUGAGAGAGAACCUACCAGUAAGACAACUCACUAUUGGUCUCCUGGAGCUGAAGUUACUACCCCUAACUAGACCACGUUCUUCUGUCACCUCGAUCCAACAACUAGAUUGUUUCUGCUUAGACUCGGGAGAGUUUAGAGUUACGUUGAUUAUAGCACCGGAGAUAUGUAAAUAAAUAAGGAUAGGGGAAAAAUACAAAUUUUCACUACUUAACAGCACCAACACCGUAAACGGUAGAGUCAUCCUCGUCGAUGCGUGUCUAGUGGAGAGCACCACAAACCAAACGGAAGAGUACUAAAACAACAGGUACCACCCUUGUCAAACCCCGCAAGUCCGAAAAAGAAAAAGACAAAAAUGAAAAGGAACUUACCGACACUAUUAAGACAACAGGGAACCUAUCAAAUAAAAUCUAGUAGAAUAACCCAAGCGGUCUGACGAACAAAGUUAACGAUAAACUGAAAACUAUUACAGAAAGAAGAUGAUAUGAGAAGUAGAUGAAUAGUCAAACAUGAUAUCCCGUUCAAGUCCACAGUUCUAAUGCCAAAGGAAGUACAGUACAAGUACUUACCGACACUACUAUAUCGAAGGGACAUUAACGAAAAUAGAUUGUGGACUUAAAUAAGUCAACCACGAUUUGAUCCUACCGAACACAUUUAUUGGUCAAAUCGCCGAUUGACAAUGAGGGAGGCAAGUGUUUAUAUUCUACAAGUACCAGUAAGAUGGUCUUUAAGUCAAUACCACAGCUCUACCCCCAUAUAGACUCGGUAAAUGAAUACGUACAGGGUCAAAAACACAGGUGGUCUAGUACUAAACGAGGACUAUAUCACUAAAAAAGACGAAAGUGGUAAAGAGCACACCAAAGACCAGUAGAAAAGAAACAACUGUUAACCGAAGCCAGACGAUGAGAGAAACACCCUAAGCGCGAUUCACUACAACUACCACCACUACUCAUUCCGAGUAAGUCUCCAAAUGACUAUAGUCUAUGGUAGCGAACAAAAAUAACAUACCCAAUAUAAAACACAAUGAUCCAACCUCGCACGUUUAGCCCUACCGAACGACGUGAUACCGCGACGUUCGUAGUGGUCUGCACUACUAACGUAGAACAGAAAUUACAUAAUAACAUAAUUGAUGUAACAUAAAUUAAGACUUGGAUGGUAAGAAAAAAACUGUAUGUAGUACAAGUUACAUUGACGUUGUGAAGGGGAUAACUACAAGAAGAACAAGUAUUUUCUAAUUUUCUGGCGUCUUGUAUAUAAUAGGGUAAAAAUAAACCGGACCUCGCUGAGGAUAGACUUCGCUUGUUUUGCAGUUAACGAAGAAGGUAGCUGUCAUUACGCCGGUAGUCACGUUACAAGGUAACACAACUACUCUACAUAAAAUUAGACUUACCGAUUCUACUAAAAGCGGGGAACCACAACCUAUACAAAAGUACAGAAGAUCCAACCAAUUUGAUCCUCCGGGAAAAGACGUCGUUCAAGGGUCAACGUCAGAUUAUGAUAUGGGAGGAUAUGUUAUACCAAAUGUGUGAAUAAAUAAAUAAGGAUGGCGGAAAAAUACAAAUUUCACUAUUUAAGAUCACUAACACCGUUACAGGUUAUCUGCAUUGUUCUAAUCGAUGAAUCCAACCAAUUAUAUUGAGUAAGAAGGUAGAAUAACUGAUAUUGGUAAUUAAUACUAAGUAAAGUUAGGCCAAAUAUGUGUCCUUCGAACACGACUAUUUUCAGGAUACGGUCGACUACCUCGUGAACGUACAAGUUCAAACAAAUUCUAGUAACACCUCAGUGUAAACUUCCCGUGUUUGGAAAAGUAAACUUCAACGGGAGCUUCUGUAACUAUUAAUACGAAUAUCUCAUGAAGUAGACAACAAGAGUACAGUACGACGUAUGACUGACGCGAAGAAGAGAAAAUGUAUCGACGACGACUAAGACGUAAACUCCUAUUACUACUACGACUUAUGAAGGUACAAAGGCAAAGUUUCACACUACUCGUUAACCGGAACAUACGAGACUAACGUGCUCGUCGACUACUGUGGUAGUAUGGGAACUCGUUAACAAAAGACUCGCUAAACGUGCCGAUUCAGUCUAAGGACUUCGAAAUCUCCUGCCUUUGGUUACAUCAACUUCAUCGAGUUGUAGGACCCUGUGUCACAAAAACUUGAACUCGUGUGCACACGAGAUAUAGACCCGCCAAGUCAUCGCAGAUCCCUAAGUUACGUAAUUUUUUCACCCGGCUGAAGUGCUCGCCGACUUUUAUACCUUUUCUCCCUUAUGUGUACUUGACACCGGUUGCUGUCUCUGCCUCCUUGCCGCCCGCACCUGCCGUCGUUCGACUCGGCACCAAGUUGAGCAGUCGCAAGAACGACUGGGUACAUAGUCCUAUGCACGAAACUAGACACACACCAAGCAAUAGUAACGUGUCCAUGUCGUGUCGCUGUGUAGUAAUCUAACACUAGACUUAAUAAGCAAUACAGGUGUAACAACGCAGGGGACCUAUUUACUAAUCUGGUAUUAAACACUUGACUCUUCAAUACUACAGAAGCAACGUUUUUAGACUUUAAAAGGCUGAGGUAUCCAUCCACUAACGAACAUUAAUCCUCUGUUUUAUGACCCAUUAAAUAGUCUGCAACAUGUCUUAAUGACGAACAGUCCUCAAUUUCAUAUUCUAGUAAUCUAGUGUAUAACUAUGCAAUACCUGUUAAAAAAACAUGGUCGUUUACACAGAUUAGUCUAUCUUACACCAACACUUCUAACUACAACGUAACACAAAACAAGUACCUCAUGUCAAUCGUUCGGAAGCCCCUUCAGACAUGUAAUGGUUUGUCUAUACUUGAGGUUCCCAAUAGGGGUGGGGAUCUCUGUUUCCACUUACCCGCAGAAACAAACGACGAACACAUUAAAUGGUACAAAGAUAGUUGAACAAUGUAGAAUGAGAAGAAGCAGAAACAAACGACGAACACAUUAAAUGACUGCACCCUAAAGUAAAGCAAACUAAAAAACGAUUUACCCACGGUUCUGAAGUAGAGUUUUUUAAGUAUGAUGCAUCGCACGCCUCGAGUUUUGUUUAACACCUGAGGUCGGGCGAAAGUAACACAAAGAACCCCAUAAACCAAUACGUCUUUAUAAGAGACUUAAAUUUAGACAAAGAAGUAGUCAGUAUGUAUGACUAGACACAAGAAAAAUCUUGACAGUAUGACUAUGUAUGACAAAGACAUUGAGACCUCUACAGUCUAACUUCGGUUUCGUACUGACGGUCAUUCUUUUAUUGUAGAGUCAAGGUCAAUGCGCCUAAGUCAGUUUGAUCGGCCUCAAUAUCCACGUUAACCCGCCG